Molecule: ribosomal RNA, 440 nt
Filed under: uncultured bacterium
Lineage: Bacteria
Description: partial 16S ribosomal RNA
Rfam family: Bacterial small subunit ribosomal RNA
Source: RNAcentral
CCUACGGGAGGCAGCAGUGGGGGAUAUUGCACAAUGGGGGGAACCCUGAUGCAGCGACGCCGCGUGGGUGAAGAAGCGCCUCGGCGCGUAAAGCCCUGUCAGCAGGGAAGAAAAUGACGGUACCUGAAGAAGAAGCCCCGGCUAACUACGUGCCAGCCGCCGCGGUAAUACGUAGGGGGCAAGCGUUAUCCGGAUUUACUGGGUGUAAAGGGAGCGUAGGCGGCGAUGCAAGUCAGAAGUGAAAGCCCGGGGCUCAACUCCGGGACUGCUUUUGAAACUGUGUUGCUAGAUUGCAGGAGAGGGAAGUGGAAUUCCUAGUGUAGCGGUGAAAUGCGUAGAUAUUAGGAGGAACACCAGUGGCGAAGGCGGCUUACUGGACUGUAAAUGACGCUGAGGCUCGAAAGCGUGGGGAGCAAACAGGAUUAGAUACCCUGGUAGUC